Molecule: long non-coding RNA, 473 nt
Organism: Hydra vulgaris (swiftwater hydra)
Lineage: Eukaryota; Metazoa; Cnidaria; Hydrozoa; Anthoathecata; Hydridae
Source: RefSeq, a predicted model, not a curated record
UUUGGGGAGACAUCUAAUUAAUUAAUAUAAUUUUUUUUUGUUUCCUUGAUAUAUCAACAAUUUCUUUUAUCUUUUAUAAAUGUUUUUGACAGUCUUAAUUUUUUAGAAAUCUUAAUUUUGUAAAGAUUAGUAUAAGGAAAUAUUUAUAUCGAAAGUAGUCAUUUAUGUUUUUUUCAAGCAACUUUGAGAAGCAUUAAGUGAAAUAUUCAUUUCAGAAAAUUGUAACAGUAUGGUUGAAAAUAUUGUUGUUGCAGCUGCUGGAUAGAUGAAUUAGCAGACUAGGUUCUAAUCUGCACCUUUUUUCUGUACAAAAUACAAUAUAUUGAUUUUUUAAAAUUUGCAUAGUCCUUAGUUGUUGUAUAAAUGAAUUUUAAAGCAUUUUGUUGUAGAAUCAAUAAAGCAGUAGUUGGAUAGAUGUAUUAGUUUUAAAGCAUUUGAUAUUAAAGAAGUUCUGAAAAAUUUAUUAUUGAAAA